RNAcentral lists this ribosomal RNA (493 nucleotides) under uncultured bacterium. RNAcentral's name for it is "partial 16S ribosomal RNA". It matches the Rfam family "Bacterial small subunit ribosomal RNA", at positions 30 to 523 of the family's 1533-position model. The record is from RNAcentral.
AUUGAACGCUGGCGGCAUGCCUUACACAUGCAAGUCGAACGGUAACAGGUUAAGCUGACGAGUGGCGAACGGGUGAGUAAUAUAUCGGAACGUGCCCAGUCGUGGGGGAUAACGUAGCGAAAGCUACGCUAAUACCGCAUACGAUCUACGGAUGAAAGCGGGGGAUCGCAAGACCUCGCGCGAUUGGAGCGGCCGAUAUCAGAUUAGGUUUUCGGUGAGGUAAAAGCUCACCAAGCCUGCGAUCUGUAGCUGGUCUGAGAGGACGACCAGCCGAACGGAAACAGAGACACGGUCCAGACUCCUACGGGAGGCAGCAGUGGGGAAUUUUGGGUAAUGGACGCAAGUCUGAUCCAGCAAUCCCGCGUGCAGGACAAAGGCCUUCGGGUUGUAAACUGCUUUUGUACGGAACGAAACGGUGAGCUCUAAUACAGUUUGCUAAUGACGGUACCGUAAGAAUAAGCACCGGCUAACUACGUGCCAGCCGCCGCUGUAA